This 497-nucleotide ribosomal RNA is filed under the name uncultured bacterium. RNAcentral's name for it is "partial 16S ribosomal RNA". It matches the Rfam family "Bacterial small subunit ribosomal RNA", at positions 28 to 507 of the family's 1533-position model. The record is from RNAcentral.
GAUGAACGCUGGCGGCGUGCCUAAUACAUGCAAGUCGAGCGAACAGACGAGGAGCUUGCUUCUCUGACGUUAGCGGCGGACGGGUGAGUAACACGUGGAUAACCUACCUAUAAGACUGGGAUAACUUCGGGAAACCGGAGCUAAUACCGGAUAAUAUAUUGAACCGCAUGGUUCAAAAGUGAAAGACGGUUUUGCUGUCACUUAUAGAUGGAUCCGCGCCGCAUUAGCUAGUUGGUAAGGUAACGGCUUACCAAGGCAACGAUGCAUAGCCGACCUGAGAGGGUGAUCGGCCACACUGGAACUGAGACACGGUCCAGACUCCUACGGGAGGCAGCAGUAGGGAAUCUUCCGCAAUGGGCGAAAGCUUGACGGAGCAACGCCGCGUGAGUGAUGAAGGUCUUCGGAUCGUAAAACUCUGUUAUUAGGGAAGAACAAAUGUGUAAGUAACUAUGCACAUCUUGACGGUACCUAAUCAGAAAGCCACGGCUAACUACGUG